AAAUAGCUGUAGGAUCAGCGGGCCUGUUUUAUCAAGAAGCUGUAGGCCCGGCAUCGAAACUGUCGGCGGCGGGCCGACGUGAAUUUCGAACACUGUUGGUGACGUUGCAUAAUUUCGUGCCUAAACAAUACCCUGCUCAACACAGGGGCUAUGUCCCUGAGUGACAUGUCUUACCCUGGAACAUAGGCUGGUUCACCACAAAUACAAGUUAUUUUUCAUUUUAUACAGAAAGAGGAAUAUACAACAAGAAUAUAGAAAUAUUAUAGAUACUCUUCGCUUAGGUUACCUACACGCUUGGGGUAAUCUUAGGCACGUACGAAAUCAGGCAUGGUCGGGGGCUGUCUAGAACGCAUAGUGAGGGACAGCACUCGGCCGUCUAGACAAUCGAACACCACGUGCUAUCUGACAGAAUCCGAAAAAAUAAAGUAUUUCGAAAAUUGCAUGUUUUUGGUGAAUACGAAGGUUCUAGACAUUUUAUCGUUACUCUAGACGAGUUGCCUACUCGAGCAAUAAUAGCUGCUGCAGUCCAUUCUGUAACACAACCUAACUUUAGUAAAAGCACAGUAACAAGCACAAUCCACCAAAAUGCACCAGUUGAUUUAAAGUUUCACACAUGUAAAACGGCCUGAGCCUUUCGAUUACGCUUGCCGGUAACACGGCGUCGCAGGAACACGUUGGAGGUAACACGUCGUCACAGGUAACACGGCUUCACAUGUAACACGGCUUCACCUGUAAUACGUCGGUGCCGGUAACAGGGCGUCGCAGGAACACGUUGGAGGUAGCACGUCGUCACAGGUAACACGGCUUCACCGGUAAUACGUCGGCAUGGGUAAUACGUCGGUGCCGGUAACAGGGCGUCGCAGGAACACGUUGGAGGUAGCACGUCGUCACAGGUAACACGGCUUCACCGGUAAUACGUCGGCAUGGGUAAUACGUCGGUGCCGGUAACAGGGCGUCGCAGGAACACGUUGGAGGUAGCACGUCGUCACAUGUAACACGGCUUCACCUGUAAUACGUCGG
Molecule: long non-coding RNA, 1020 nt
Filed under: Priapulus caudatus
Lineage: Eukaryota; Metazoa; Priapulida; Priapulimorpha; Priapulimorphida; Priapulidae
Description: uncharacterized LOC106818380, transcript variant X1
Source: RNAcentral